GGACUACUAGGGUUUCUAAUCCCGUUCGCUCCCCUGGCUUUCGCGCCUCAGCGUCAGAAGAGGUCCAGCGCGUCGCUUUCGCCACCGGCGUUCCUUCCGAUAUCUACGCAUUUCACCGCUCCACCGGAAGUUCCACACGCCCCUACCUCCCUCGAGACCGGCAGUAUCCAAGGCAAUUCCACGGUUGAGCCGUGGGAUUUCACCCCGGACUUGCCGGCCCGCCUACGCGCCCUUUAAGCCCAGUGAAUCCGAACAACGUUCGCACGGUUCGUCUUACCGCGGCUGCUGGCAC
RNAcentral lists this ribosomal RNA (292 nucleotides) under uncultured bacterium. RNAcentral's name for it is "partial 16S ribosomal RNA". The record is from RNAcentral. RNAcentral also lists the same sequence under 1 other name.